AAUUGACUAGAAGAUAUGGAUGGUUUAUUUGAAAAACCUACUAAUAUAACGUAUUGGGAAUCUAAUUCAUAUAUGGUGUUGAAUGCUUAACUACGUUUAAGAAUCCUAAAAUGUAUGAUGUGAUGCCCACCUGGGAGAUCAGGUUUUAUCGUUAUUGCCGCCUUUCUUUUGGUCUUUUU
This 179-nucleotide non-coding RNA is filed under the name Bacilli bacterium. RNAcentral's name for it is "6S RNA". It matches the Rfam family "6S / SsrS RNA". Rfam says of the family: E. coli 6S RNA was the first non coding RNA to be sequenced, but its function was unknown until recently. Lineage: Bacteria; Bacillati; Bacillota; Bacilli. The record is from RNAcentral.